This 804-nucleotide ribosomal RNA is filed under the name uncultured organism. Its description in RNAcentral is "SSU rRNA". It matches the Rfam family "Bacterial small subunit ribosomal RNA", at positions 28 to 802 of the family's 1533-position model. The record is from RNAcentral.
GACGAACGCUGGCGGCGUGCUUAACACAUGCAAGUCGAACGAAGAGCGAUGGAAGCUUGCUUCUAUCAAUCUUAGUGGCGAACGGGUGAGUAACGCGUAAUCAACCUGCCCUUCAGAGGGGGACAACAGUUGGAAACGACUGCUAAUACCGCAUACGAUCUAAUCUCGGCAUCGAGGAUGGAUGAAAGGUGGCCUCUAUUUAUAAGCUAUCACUGAAGGAGGGGAUUGCGUCUGAUUAGCUAGUUGGAGGGGUAACGGCCCACCAAGGCGAUGAUCAGUGGCCGGUCUGAGAGGAUGAACGGCCACAUUGGGACUGAGACACGGCCCAGACUCCUACGGGAGGCAGCAGUGGGGAAUCUUCCGCAAUGGACGAAAGUCUGACGGAGCAACGCCGCGUGAGUGAUGACGGCCUUCGGGUUGUAAAGCUCUGUUAAUCGGGACGAAAGGCCUUCUUGCGAAUAGUUAGAAGGAUUGACGGUACCGGAAUAGAAAGCCACGGCUAACUACGUGCCAGCAGCCGCGGUAAUACGUAGGUGGCAAGCGUUGUCCGGAAUUAUUGGGCGUAAAGCGCGCGCAGGCGGAUUGAUCAGUCUGUCUUAAAAGUUCGGGGCUUAACCCCGUGAUGGGAUGGAAACUGCCAAUCUAGAGUAUCGGAGAGGAAAGUGGAAUUCCUAGUGUAGCGGUGAAAUGCGUAGAUAUUAGGAAGAACACCAGUGGCGAAGGCGACUUUCUGGACGAAAACUGACGCUGAGGCGCGAAAGCCAGGGGAGCGAACGGGAUUAGAUACCCCGGUAGUCCUGGCCG